This 405-nucleotide ribosomal RNA is filed under the name uncultured bacterium. Its description in RNAcentral is "partial 16S ribosomal RNA". It matches the Rfam family "Bacterial small subunit ribosomal RNA", at positions 33 to 526 of the family's 1533-position model. The record is from RNAcentral.
GAUGACGCUGGCGGCAGGCCUAACACAUGCAAGUCGAACGAGUGGCGGACGGGUGAGUAAUGUCUGGGAAACUGCCUGAUGGAGGGGGAUAACUACUGGAAACGGUAGCUAAUACCGCAUACCAUCGGAUGUGCCCAUAUGGGAUUAGCUAGUAGGUGGGGUAACGGCUCACCUAGGCGACGAUCCCUAGCUGGUCUGAGAGGAUGACCAGCCACACUGGAACUGAGACACGGCCCAGACUCCUACGGGAGGCAGCAGUGGGGAAUUUUGCACAAUGGGCGCAAGCCUGAUACAGCCAUGCCGCGUGUAUGAAGAAGGCCUUCGGGUUGUAAAGUACUUUUAGCGGGGAGGCGGUACCCGCAGAAGAAGCACCGGCUAACUCCGUGCCAGCAGCCGCGGUAAUUC